This 163-nucleotide ribosomal RNA is filed under the name uncultured bacterium. Its description in RNAcentral is "partial 16S rRNA". It matches the Rfam family "Bacterial small subunit ribosomal RNA", at positions 355 to 510 of the family's 1533-position model. The record is from RNAcentral.
UAGGGAAUCUUCGGCAAUGGACGAAAGUCUGACCGAGCAACGCCGCGUGAGUGAAGAAGGUUUUCGGACCGUAAACUCUGUUGGUAGAGAAGAACGUUGGUGAGAGUGGAAAGCUCAUCAAGUGACGGUAACUACCCAGAAAGGGACGGCUAACUACGUGCCA